CACAUCUCUGUUAAGAAAGAAGCCAGACCCGAUAAGCAAGGCAAGAGGACCCAUGAAGAUGGCGACUCUCCUCUUUUAAAAGGGACAAGGAAGUUUACUGACAUCUGCUGGGAGAAAGACCAGAAGGCAGCCAGCAGGUGGAGGAGGGGUCGAGAGCCCAGCUGUGGAAGCAGAGAGCCUGUGUUUGGAUCCCAGCUCCACUCCUCACAGGUUGUGUGAUAUUAAGGAAGAGUCAAGACCUCUAACAGCCAUGGCCAGCCAGUCAACAAUUUGGUGCCUUUAAAGGACUUCUGCCAUAACCUGUGC
Mustela erminea (ermine) is the source of this 306-nucleotide long non-coding RNA. RefSeq lists it as uncharacterized. NCBI's taxonomy places the organism in Eukaryota, Metazoa, Chordata, Mammalia, Carnivora, Mustelidae. The record is from RefSeq and is a predicted model, not a curated record. The transcript has 3 exons.